This is a long non-coding RNA of Gorilla gorilla gorilla (western lowland gorilla), 518 nucleotides long. RefSeq lists it as uncharacterized. Lineage: Eukaryota; Metazoa; Chordata; Mammalia; Primates; Hominidae. The record is from RefSeq and is a predicted model, not a curated record. The transcript has 3 exons.
GAUUAAUAUUUACUCAGUGAACUUUGAGUAAAGCAUUGGGUGCUUCAUUAUGUGGAUGAGUCUCAUCCAAUCAGUUGAAGGUGACUGAAUAGAACCAUAGAUCGACCUCACAUAAAUGAGAGGGAAUUCUGCAACAGAUCAUCUUUGCCUUUGAACUGCAGCAUGGACUCCCCUCUGGGUCUCCUGCCUGCCAGCCCACCCUGCAGAGUUUGCAUUUGCCAGCCUCCACAAUCAGGUAAUUUAUCCUGUGCAUCAGCAAGAGGAAGUCUAGAGCCAUGGAAACCAAGUCAGGAAACUUCUCUCUUAUUAUUAGGUCCACUGCAAAUCUAGUUGAGACUGCAAAUCGAGUUUAGUCACCACCUCCGAGGAACUGCGUCCCGCGUUGGCAUUCCUUUGGCAGCUUCCACUUCUCUGUCCCCUUGAGCAAAGUACGUACCAGACAUAGCCCAGCCUUAAACUAGAACACUUGAAAAAAACAACACCUGACCCUGGGGAAUUCCAGAAAUUCAAAAAUUCAA